GGAGAGGGGGCGGGCCGGCGCGCACUAGGCUCCGGGGCCCGCGCGGCGCCCCGGGCGGCCGGGCGGCCGGGCAGGGGCGGGGGCGCGCAGCGCGCGGCCGCCCAGGCACCUGCUCCACGCGCGCACUCCGGCCCCAACGCCACCCCGCCGGCCGCUGGCACUGGGCAGCCCGGCCACCCCGCUGUUCGCGGCGCCUCCGGCCACCCCGACGCCGCCGCCCGUCUGCCUGCGGGUCUGGGUGAGGCCGCCCCGCUGAGAGCUGGUGUCGGGGACACUGGCGUGCUCGCUCCGCCCCGGGUGUACUUCGCAAAGCUUUGCAAAAUUUAAGUCCUCGGGUCGGGACAGUCGUGGGACGUGUCUGAGUUAGGAUACUCGAUUUGCUUCGAGGUCUCUGGUUCUGUCUGCACGUGUGGGGCCGUUUGCACUAGCCCCCCCACGCCCACCUCCCGGGACGUACAGGUGCGCACGUGGUCCCCACCCGGUUCAGGCCCGCUCCUCAAAGCGGUGCAGACUCACUGGGUGCUUCCUGCCAAGUCCCCAGCUGGCAAAGGGGGCUGGCAGCGAGUGGGUCCUUAGGAGACUUGCCAGAGAUUGACGUCACCACUGUUCCUGUCGGAGGGACGCUCCCUGAUUAUGUUUUCACAUGGAGUUUAUUUACAUCCACCACAAGAAAAUAAUUAAAAGAAUAAGGCGGGCACCGCCGAGGUGUAUUUAAUAACCGAAUAGGCCUCACAGUUGGUUACUUUUACUACCGUUUUCCGGGCCGCUUUGUACUGGGUUGCCUCCGGUCCGCUGGAGUGGAGAGUGUCUGGGAUUCUCGCUUCCCUGUGCAAUGUAAACCCUGUGCACCAGCGUGGAACUCCCAGGGCGCAAUUGCGCCCCUGAGGUCGCGCUCCGGCCCGGUGGUUUCAAGUGUCUGCGCGCCCCUUCCCUGGGUGACCAACAGAGGGCGCCAGUGGUUCAGGCUUGAAUCGACAACGACCGGGUCCAAGGCUCUUCUGCCAAGAGCAAGUGGGUCAGCAAUGCAAACCGAAGAGACCCCCGCGGGAAGGGGCUUUCCUGGACUCUCUCGGAAAUGGAUACUUGCCCUAGGAGGUGGGUAGGUAUCUUGGAGGAGCGUUUUGCAGUUUGCAGUAGAAACUGCCCCUGGGGACCCCCGUGCGUUCCCCCCUCCAGCCCGGCCCGCCCCCUGCAGGGCUGUGGGCGAAGCCAGCGCGCACCCACCGUCUCUCUGCCCUGCGGUGUGUAGGUGCGCACAUGGGUAGGUGUGUGCGGGCUCCCUUUAGAAUUGGGGACCGAUGUACUCUUGGCAUAUAGACAUAAAGCAGGAGUAAUACUUGCUCCACAGGAAGAGAGAGCUGGAAUGCGCAGAGGGGCCUGCGUCCCCAGCCCCGCGGAGGCACAGCAACCCCCCCCCCCCCCCCACGCCAGCGCGCAGGCUGUGCAGACUCGUCCAGGUUACCGCACACCGUGCGUCACCUCCUGGCUGCCCCCCGCCCCCAUCCCUCCUUGUAGCUGCGUGUUAUCUGCCUCAGCCUCCCAGAACAGGGUCUCGAAUUGCAUUGGAAAAUUAGAGGAAGCAAAAAACAAACAAACAAAAAUCCCUCCGGGUUGGUUGCACGACUCCUUUCCUAUCCACGGAGACCUGGAUUCUGAAACAGCCGGCUGCGCAGCCAGAUUCCUGAGCCUCUGUGUUUAGGCCAGUGUCACCAGGCAGUGUGGCCCUUUUGCAGCGCUGCCAUCCGAGUGUGGUCGGAAAGCGCAGGGAGGACACCCGGGUCCUCCCCUAGUCCUGGGCUUCCCAGCACCCUCCCCUCACCGCCUGGGCCGCGGCCGCACAGCAGGAGCCAGUUCCGCGCGGAGACCCUAGGGGGCGUCGAAGAGCCGGGCGCCGAGCCCGCGGGAACCCAAGGCUGCACUCCCGCGAAUGUUCCAUGACCACGUGCGGCAGGGCUGUCGUCCCCCGCUCCGUGAGGUCUCGCGACAACGAGGUUUUCGAAAACCCACCUGGAGGUGUAGCUGCUGGAGACACCUGUAGUUAUUUCUGAUGCAGUCUAUUCGUUCAAAUUUGUUACUUAUCAGAUAAAUUCCAGGCUUCGUGCAGCAGCCCUGCUGACCUCUGACCUGACUCGUCUCUGUGCAACGAUCCUGUGUAGCUGUUGGCCACCGUAGGUUACAUCCUCGCAUCACCUCACUUGUGUAGAGGCCCUAGGGGCCGUUCCCUGCCUCUGACAGCUUUGGGCAGGGACCAGAUCUCGCUCAUGCCUCUGAUACCUGUUCCUGAACCCAGGUGUGGAAUGAUGCUUAAAAGUACGUAUUAGCUGGAGCCAUGACGGAGCAGCAAUUAUCAAGAUUGGCAAGAGCGCAAGCAUCAGUUCAAGUCGAAAACAAUUUUAGGGGCCAAAAAUAGGUCGUGUUUUGUUGAGAUGCAGGAAAUAAUUUUCAUUAAUUUUAGUUUGAGGGCUUAAAAAAAAUAAAGCCUGUGUAAGCACUUCUGAUUAUGGCUUCCCCCACCGCCGCUUGUUGCUAAAGUCACAGGAUAAUAUGAGAUUUAUUUAAAGUGGGGGCCUGUUGGCCUCACAAAUCCAGCAGCUCUGAGCAUGCGAAGAGACCCCGAAAUGUAUAAGAUAAACUAAGAGCGAGAGUAGGUGCCUUCUCUAACAACCUAGAGAGAUGUGAGCAGAUCCCCGGCCCGGCAGAGGCAGGUGAAGGGGACCUAGCGGGGCAGGGAUCUCUCUUUGGGGACUAUAUAGUGACUCUGGACCAGGGUAAGGUGACACAUCUUUGAAGGAACCGCAAGCCUUGCCUGAAUUCCAGCUUUGUCAGCAUUGGGAUUCUGGUCAGCUUGAUGAAGGAAAGGUAAUUGGCAUGUGCACAUCCCGCUGCUUCGAAGGCCACUGUUGGGCUAUGGAACUGACGACCCCAACCCCCACAGCCUCUGCCUGGGCGGGAGGGUGGCGAGGGCUCCAGACUGGGGGUCCCCGCAUGGAACUUCCUCUGGGGUCCAGGGCUCCAGCCGGUGUGCCCGGACAUAUUAGCAGUUUGGGGGCCCUGACCACAACACCCCACCUUGCCACGGGGGAUUUGAAAUAAAAACACACCUGAGACACGUGUGGUGAAGUGUGGAGAUGAGUUUGAUGAGGGAGCGUGGGGUGGGCUGAGGGCAGAGCACAGGCGGAUAGCACCCCCCCCCCCACCCCCACCGUGGAUCUGUGUGAUGUUCCUCGGACACUCCUGGCCGCCCAAGAACACAGAAAGGGGGUUCAAGUGCUUGCUGUGGUGACGUGGGAAACUGAGGCAAAUGAAACAUCAAAUCCCCUUACUGCCUACGGCUCACUGACCAGUCCUUGAAACCGGUGCAGUGACCUCCCUCGAGGGGCUCAGCUGCCUCCAUGAUGACACUUUGCAGGGGACAGAAGGGAAUAUCAGCUUCACAUCACCCCACCUCGAGGACCCUGUAAGUCUCCUUCCUUUAUCUCAACUGCCCCAGGACACAUGCUGGCAUCAUCCUCCAGGCUUAGGGCCCCUAGGGGUCUCAGGACUGAGGUUUUACUAAACGGUAAUAAAUGGCAUUUCCCUGGCCACAGCGACCCCCUCAAGGUCCUGGAAACCUUGCUUCCAAAAUUCCUAAGAGACUUACUCUAUCCCCGCCCCCUCCCGAGCUGAGGGUAUGUGAUGAGUUACCCGUCACGACCCCAGUGCAGCUCCUCCUGCCCGUGGGCCCUGUCCCCAUGCUUUAAUAAACCACCUUUAUGCACCAAAGAUGUCUUCAAGAAUUCUUUCCGGGCUGUCAGCUCUGGAACCCCUCCCCCCCGUCACCCCAAAACUUCAUCAGUGUGACACUUCAUGUGCAGGCUCCCUUUGCCAGGAGAGCUUGGCAGGAAUAUUUGGGGGCCCUUUGGGAGGACCAGAUGGCAUUGGUCACCCCGAGUGAGGCCGGUAGAUCCAGGCCACAGGUCGGGCCAGCCCAGGGAGGGAGGUGAAGGCAGGGUCUCAGGGCAGGGCCUCGUGCGGGGCUGGGGAGGAGCUGGCGUCUGGCUGGUCCCCUCCCCUGGGCUUGCCCCGCACAGUUGGCCUGGGAGUGUCCCCACCUGUCCUCGCUCAGUCCUGGUGGUUCUGGACGUGUGUGUCAUUGAACUGUGCUCCCAGAUCCCCCUGUGCCGGCCCCCAAGUGGGCAGUGGGACCCCAUCUUUGGGGUGGCCAAGCUCACACAGCCUCGUAUGGGCCUCGGGGUGGCCCCCUUCUCCAUUUGGCCAGUUGGUGGACACAUGGCUUCCCUAAACUGGGGUCACCCAUCACACGUUGGCUUUCACACCAAGAGUCCUGGCGUCCCUCCCUCCUGGAGA
Molecule: long non-coding RNA, 4347 nt
Organism: Acinonyx jubatus (cheetah)
Lineage: Eukaryota; Metazoa; Chordata; Mammalia; Carnivora; Felidae
Exons: 4
Source: RefSeq, a predicted model, not a curated record